GACGAACGCUGGCGGCGUGCUUAACACAUGCAAGUCGAACGGAAAGGCCCUGCUUUUGUGGGGUGCUCGAGUGGCGAACGGGUGAGUAACACGUGAGUAACCUGCCCUUGACUUUGGGAUAACUUCAGGAAACUGGGGCUAAUACCGGAUAGGAGCUCCUGCUGCAUGGUGGGGGUUGGAAAGUUUCGGCGGUUGGGGAUGGACUCGCGGCUUAUCAGCUUGUUGGUGGGGUAGUGGCUUACCAAGGCUUUGACGGGUAGCCGGCCUGAGAGGGUGACCGGCCACAUUGGGACUGAGAUACGGCCCAGACUCAUACGGGAGGCAGCAGUGGGGAAUAUUGCACAAUGGGCGGAGGCCGGAUGCAGCAACGCCGCGUGCGGGAUGACGGCCUUCGGGUUGUAAACCGCUUUCGCCUGUGACGAAGCGUGAGUGACGGUAAUGGGUAAAGAAGCACCGGCUAACUACGU
Molecule: ribosomal RNA, 467 nt
Filed under: uncultured bacterium
Lineage: Bacteria
Description: partial 16S ribosomal RNA
Rfam family: Bacterial small subunit ribosomal RNA
Source: RNAcentral